CAGUACACUCAUCCAUAAAGUAGGAAACACUACACCCUCCAGUGCUGUUAGUAGUGCUUUCUACUUUAUGGGUGACUGGCCUCA
Molecule: microRNA precursor, 84 nt
Filed under: Ovis aries (sheep)
Lineage: Eukaryota; Metazoa; Chordata; Mammalia; Artiodactyla; Bovidae
Description: mir-142 microRNA precursor family
Rfam family: mir-142 microRNA precursor family
Source: Rfam by way of RNAcentral